CGAAAUGUAAAUGGUAGUCUUGUGACGAUAACUACAACUAAAUAUAAAAUGCAAUAUUGUCAACGACUAAAUCUGGUUCACAAAAUAAAAACUGCUAAAAUGUCUCCUCAUUUUCAUUGACUUAACCGAGACGAGACGAAAUUGUUCAGUCGCGUUGUUUUUGUUUUCUGUUUCCUCGGCUGUGUGUCGCCCUGCUCAGACACAGGCGACGUCACGUCCUCAAUCCCCUAACUCACGGUAUUUUUAGACGCGGUGGGCAAAGACGUUUCUGGGUGAGUUAGAGUCAUGGUCGGGUUGACUGGGAGAAAAAGAAGAAAUUAUAUCUGGACACUUCAAGUACAAACAAAACGGAGUGUGUCGUGGAAAAAGAAAAAGGGAGAAAUGCGGCUGGAAAAUAGCGGGAAAAACAGACAUCUGCAGGUCUCCCAUGCUGAACUCGAGGUAAGUAAAAUAAGUUAUCAUUGACUAAAACUAGACGAAAAUGUCAUCAGAAAGUGACUUAAACUGAUAAAAACUAAAAUGACAGUUUGACCUUCUGCAGACCUUUUGCCGCAUUCGCCGUGACUUUGUCAAACUGAAACAAACUAAAGAGUUGAAGUUACUGAAAGGACAGUUUAAACCUGACAUGGAAGUUAUUUAAAGUACUUUUUAGAUUUUUCUCUUUAACUUUAAGGUUUCAGAAAAAUUCCCUCAUGAAUAUUUUUAAUUCUCGAUCUUUCAAACUUGGAGGAUGAAAUCAGCUGCAGAAACUCUCCUCCUGUUUUCUUCUGCUGAGGAACUCUGAAACCAUCAAACUGUCUUCUUCAUUCUUGACAGCUUGUCUGCCUCCAUAUGGUCCAAAAACUGACUCCACAAUAAGAC
Molecule: non-coding RNA, 861 nt
Organism: Xyrichtys novacula (pearly razorfish)
Lineage: Eukaryota; Metazoa; Chordata; Actinopteri; Labriformes; Labridae
Source: the annotation of a GenBank genome assembly